RNAcentral lists this ribosomal RNA (497 nucleotides) under uncultured bacterium. RNAcentral's name for it is "partial 16S ribosomal RNA". It matches the Rfam family "Bacterial small subunit ribosomal RNA", at positions 28 to 507 of the family's 1533-position model. The record is from RNAcentral.
GAUGAACGCUGGCGGCGUGCCUAAUACAUGCAAGUCGAGCGAACAGACGAGGAGCUUUCUCCUCUGACGUUAGCGGCGGACGGGUGAGUAACACGUGGAGAACCUACCUAUAAGACUGGGAUAACUUCGGGAAACCGGAGCUAAUACCGGAUAAUAUAUUGAACCGCAUGGUUCAAUAGUGAAAGACGGUUUUGCUGUUACUUAUAGAUGGAUCCGCGCCGCAUUAGCUAGUUGGUAAGGUAACGGCUUACCAAGGCAACGAGGCGUAGCCGACCGGAGAGGGUGAUCGGGCACACUGGAACAGAGACACGGUCCAGACUCCUACGGGAGGCAGAAGUGGGGAAUCUUCCGCAAUAGGCGCAAACCUGACGGGGAGACGCCGCGUGAGUGAGGAAGGUCUUCGGAUCGUAAAACUCUGUUAUGAGGGAAAAACAAAUGUGUAAGUUACUGUGCGCGUCUUGACGGUACCUAAUCAGAAAGCCACGGCUAACUACGUG